Molecule: ribosomal RNA, 797 nt
Filed under: Polistes japonicus
Lineage: Eukaryota; Metazoa; Arthropoda; Insecta; Hymenoptera; Vespidae
Description: partial 16S rRNA
Source: RNAcentral
AAUUAUUAUUAUUAAUUUUUAAUUAGAAGUGAAAUAUUAAACGAUUUUAAAUAUAUCUAGUUUUUUUAGAAUUGAAUUAAAUUCAGCUUUAAAAUUUUUAAAAUAAAUUAAAUUAAUUUAUUUUUAUUAAUUAAAUAUUUUAAAGUAAAUAUAUUCGGGAUAAAUUGAUUAUAUAAUUUAUAAAUUAAUUUGAAUUAUAUUUUAAAAGUAAUUAUAAAAUUAUAUUUCUUUUUAAAAAAUGUUUUAAUUUAUAUUUUUAAAUUUAAAUAAAGAUAAUUUUAAUUUUUAUUUUAAUAAUUUAUAAAAAUUUAAUAAUAAAUUAUUUUUUAUAAAAAAUAAUGAUUAUAUAAGUAAAUAUUGAAAUUAAAUGAAAAAAUAAUAAUAAAAUUUUAAAAUUUAAGUUUAAGGAAUUAGGCAAAUAUUUUUAAAAAUAUAAUUUAUAUUUACCUGUUUAUCAAAAACAUGUCUUAUUGAUUUAAAUAAUAAGUUUAUUCUGCCCAUUGAAAUAAAAAUUUUAAAAGGCUGCAGUAUAUUAACUGUACAAAGGUAGCAAAAUCAAUAGUUUUUUAAUUGAAAACUUGAAUGAAAGAAUUAAUAAAAUAUAUUCUGUCUCAAAUUUAAUUAAUUUAUUAAAUUUAAAUAAAAAGUUAAAAUGCUUUUAUUAAUUUAUUAGACGAUAAGACCCUAAGAAUUUAAGAAUUUUAUUUUAUAAUUAAAUUUUAUAAUUAAUUAAUUAAUAAAUUAAUUUUUUUUUAUUGGGAGGGUAAUUAAAUUUUUAAACUUUAAUUAUUUAUAAA